This is an RNA transcript of Carassius gibelio (silver crucian carp), 4632 nucleotides long. RefSeq lists it as uncharacterized. NCBI's taxonomy places the organism in Eukaryota, Metazoa, Chordata, Actinopteri, Cypriniformes, Cyprinidae. The transcript has 5 exons. The record is from RefSeq and is a predicted model, not a curated record.
UCACGUGUACAGACACCAUGCAGGAUAUAGGGCAGAAACCACAAUGUGCACUACACAUUCCUUGGAAUGUCAUGUUGAUUUGUGUAGGGCCAAAAGUUCUUCUUUACCCGAGUUUAUUUCUCAUGUCAAAAUGCACAUUAAAGAGGGACGAAAAGUCACAUGCCCUUUCAAGCAGUGUGGUAAAACAUUUACUGUUAAAUCAACAUUUACCUCUCAUUUGUCCAGAAAACAUAACAAAAAUAUAGAAGGCCUAAUUGACUCUAUUACAGCAAACCCUGAAGCCAGCUGCUCUCAGAUUCAAGACAUUGAUGUUCAGACUGAUGCUGAUGAAAAUGAUGAGGAACCAGAUGUUAGUCCUGAAAAUGUUGACAACACUUUGUUUUUAAGGAAUCUUGCUCUGUUCUAUUUGAAAUUGCAAGCCAAGCUAUUGCUUCCAGCCUCAGUCAUUCAGACAAUCAUUGAAGACAUGCAGUCAAUACAUGAAAUCAAUCAGUCCCAUUUGCUUUUCAGACUUCAGGAAAAGUUAAUCUCACUUAAUGUUCCAGAAGCAAUGAUAAAAAUGGUACUUGACGAUCUUAAAGCUGAAGAUCUUUUUACAUCCUGUAAUAGCCACAAAUUAAGAUCAGAUCAGCGAAGAAAAACAUUUUUCAAGAAAAGCUUUCAUUAUGUUGAGCCUGUGCCUAUUCGCCUAGGACAGAAUGAAGCAGGUAAAGAGUGUUUUGUGCAGUAUGUACCAGUAAAAAAAACAAUUGAAUCUCUCCUUCACUGCAAGUCUGUAAGAGAACAGUACAAUGAUGUGCACAGUCGUGUCCGGUUGAAGGACAUUUUAAAGGAUGUUUGGGAUGGUGAAAACAUAACUGCAAACUUGCAUCAUGCAGAUGAAUCUGCAUUAGGCUUGGUCUUAUAUCAAGAUGCUUUUGAGGUUGCGAACCCUCUUGGGUCUGGGAAAAAAAAGCAUAAAAUUCUAGCUAUGUACCUCACAUUAGCAGAUCUAUUUCCUCAUAAUAGAUCAAGUACUGACCAAAUGCAACUGGUGUUUCUCUGCAGGGAACAAGACUUUAAGUACUUUGGUCAAGAAUUGGUCAUGAGGUGCUUAAUCAAUGACCUUAAAGACCUUGAGACUACAGGCGUAGAUUUUCCAGAUGGACUGAACGUUAAAGGAAUCUUGCAGGCAAUAGCUGGUGACAAUUUAGGCUCACAUAGCAUUGGUGGGUUUCUGGAGAAUUUCAGCGGAAGUAGAUACUUUUGCAGAUAUUGCGAAAUUGAAAAAUAUACUUUUCAGGAAAAUCCACUUUCCAGAGCCACAUUUCGUACAGCAGAGUCUUACAAACAUCACGUUGAGAACCUUGAUAAGGGUUUGGACCAUAGUGGAGGCAUCAAGUUUGACUCUUUGUUCAAUGAGCUCUCCUUCUAUCAUGUCUCUCAGCCAGGGUUGCCCCCAUGCCUUGGACAUGAUUUAUUUGAAGGUGUUGUGUCGUAUGACCUUGCUUUAUGCAUACAACAUCUUGUAAAGGUUGACAGACAGUUUACGUAUCUGGAAUUGAAUCGAAGGAUUAGUCAGUUCAAGUUUCUAGGUAAUGACAACUGUGACAGACCGUGUGAGAUUAACCCAGGAAGUGAGAAGCUAAGUGGGCAUGCUGUACAGAACUGGUGUUUUUUGAGGAUGCUGCCAAUGUUAAUUGGUGACCAAAUUGAAUCACCUGGUGAGAAUGAAGUUUGGCAACUAAUUUUACUGUUAAGGGAAAUUGUUGCACUUGUUUGUGCACCAGUCAUUUACAGUGGUCAGAUAGGGUAUUUGAGAGUUUUGAUUGAUGAGUACCUAUAUUUUAGGAAACACAUGUUCCCUACUUACUCUCUCAGACCUAAACAUCAUUACCUUAGCCACUACCCAGAGCUCAUUAUUCAUUUUGGACCACUCAUCCGUUUGUGGACAUUAAGAUUCGAAAGUAAGCACAUGUAUUUCAAACAGUGUGUAAGAAAACUACAUAACUUUAAAAAUCUGUGCUUUACUCUCUCAGAAAGACAUCAGCUUCUGCAGGCGUUUCUUCAUGCUGGUGAGCUCUUCCCUCCUUCUAUUGUAGCAGAAAAGGCAACAGAGUUUGUGGUGAGUGACUACAAUGAUGUCAUAAGAGAGUCUGUAUCUGGAUAUGAUUUUCAGCCUGAAAAUUCUUUGGUUUCUCAUGAGGCAACUGUGAAAGGCACAACAUACAAAAAAAACAUGUAUGUUGUCAUUCAUGAAACUGAUGAGGGGCUUAUUGUGGGGAGGAUUGUGAUGACAGUCAUACACAAUACUUCAGUGUACUUCAUCACAGAACUUUUCCAAACUUACAGUAUCCCUGACAUGGGUGUUCAUUGCUUGACACCAAUGAAUGGAUCCUACACUUGUGUUAAUCAGAAUGACCUUCUGGAUUAUUAUCCAUUGUCAAAAUACACAGUGUUUGAUAUGUCUGUAAUAGUUCUUCAUCAUUCUUUUGUCUCAAUUUAAAGCAAUGUCCGCCUUGGUCGGAGAACUGAGGGAAAUCAUCCUCAGGGCUUUGCCGUCAAAUGAUGAGAACACCACACAGCUUUUGAUUGACAAACUUGUAGGCUCGGGAUUGGAAUCCAAAGAUGAUCUUCAGUUUGUUCAACAAGAAGACAUCAGUGACAUACUACCAACUAUAAAACUCAGAAAACUUCUCAAUGCUUUUAAAAUGGAGUCAGAAACUGUCACUUUGGAUCUCACCACUAUGCAGCACACUCCUUCCUUAUCAGCUGGGAGCUCCUCACCACAGCCAUGCUCUUCUAAUAUGUCGGUAACUACUGAUGGAGGAUCAAGCAGUCUUGAAAACAGUCAACCAUCUACAUCCCAUUUUAGGAAAUCGUGGUCAAAUACCUUUCAGGUACCAUGGCAGCUCAUGCCUGCAGAAAUACAGUCUGCUCUCUCUUCUGGGAAGAGACCUUCACCACCAGCAAGACGACAAAUGGUCAGGGUGCUUGCCGAUGAAAUGAGAAAAUUUGAGCCAACACCAACACGUGCACAGUGUCUUACUAUUUGUAAAGCGAUUGUCCAUCAAUAUCCCCAGAGCUUUGCGGAUCAACUUCAUGAUGGCCGAGUUGUAGGGGAAGGUUACAGCUCACUUUUGGCCCAGAUCAAGAAUAGAAUUGAUAACCUCAGCCGGGCCACUAGCUUCCGACAGCACCGGUCAGCUGACAGUGGUCUUAAAAGAGGACCCACUGACACAUAUGGUUGCACCCGGUUUCAGCCUGAUCUUCCUUUAGAUGAGACUGAUGUCUCCAUUGAGACUAAACGUCAGAAGCUGGAGGAUCUAUUCUGUCAAGAAGGUGCAAAGGGAGCUGAGAAAGCUGAGGUUGAAAAACUGAUGGAGACAACUUUCUGCCUGCAACGGAGCCAAAUAAAUAGUGUGCCAGCACCUUCUGUUGCGGAGUUGAUGGAAAAGUGGCCAUACCUCUUUUUUCAGAAAGGCCUGUUCGCCCAUUUUGAGCUGCUCACUGAUAUUAAUGUCCUGCGUGCACUUGAACUUUCUAUGGAGGAGUGUGGAAAGAGCAUCUUAGAGUUUUUUAAAAGCAAGCCUACCAACUCAGAAGUCAAGUCAAUCCUUUCCAAAGAUGAACCCAUUGAUUCAACAUACCAAAUUGUUCAACUCCUAAUGGCUCACUUCAUGGAAAAGCAAGAUGGACUCAUUCUUCAAGAAAAUAUGUCUGCCACUCCUGCUGACCUCGAAAAGAUGGGGAACCUGCCUGUGAGUCCUCGUUUGAUCCUGCUUGGUGAUAAUCCGGGCCAAUGGAUGAAACAAUGGAUGAUCAGCCUCGAAGGCCGAAUAAUCUGCGAGGGUGUGCAGCCAACCUUUAUCUCUGGACUUGCUGCAUUGUUCUCUUCGUAUUACAUUUUUAAUUUGCAGUACCAAGAGGAAGCAGCAUCCACACUAGAAUUCCUUCAAAGACGUUUUGUUGGAAUUAAUCCAGAAAAGGGGACCAAAGCUGCAAGGGGAAAGGUGAUGUCCAAAAAAUCUGGGAAAACCGUGCAGAAGAAGACCAUAACCGUCAGUAACAAAGUUUCAAAUCUUUUAAAAAGACUUAUGGACUUUGAGUGGCACUUCAUUUAAAAUGUAGCUGACACUCCCCACUCAUGCAGUUUGUUUUCAGAAACAUUGUCAUCUGGUGUUAUAUUUUGUUUAUACAGAGUUAUUUAGAUAUUAAAAAAGGCUGGUGUUUUUUAAAGCCUGAUUUAAGAGUUUUUAUUUAUUUUUAUUAUUAUUUAUUUUAAAUAAUUACUUUGUCUUAGUGCAACUGUUUUUGGGCUAAUGUUUGCCAAAGCCUCAUUUGACACUAGAUUUGUAUUUUAUAUAGAGGUAAGUCAAUUCUAUAUAUUUUGUAUUUGUUUGCUUUUUCUUAAGCCAUUUUUGCAUUUUGAUGGGUGCUUAAUUGUAUGCACUGAAUAGUACUUGACUAGUAUUUUUUUAUUUGCCUAUUUUAGUUUAAAAUAAUUGAGCAGAAUUUAUCUGGUGUUGUAUCAGAAUAAUAAAAAAAAUACUAACUUGUCUUUAUUCCUUUUUUGUAAUCCAUGACAAAAAUAAUGUGCAGGGUUAUAAUAGCAUUUAGAAUUGAAAUUAUUGUGGUUUCAUUGUAAAAACU